GUCUUUACAAGAUCAUCUUAUUUAGGUUCACUGUAUUAUAAUAUAGCUUUAUAAUAUUUGCUUUUCCUAAGCUGCAUCUGGCAAGUCAGUCUCAGAAACAGUAACCUUGUGCCUUGCCUUCUCAAGUAGGCGAGAAGGAACUAGAACUUGUCCCAUCUUCCUGUAUGUGCACACAACAAAGUAAAUAUUGAUACUGCCUAGUUUCAUGUUGUGCAAAUCAUUCAUCCCUGUUCCCUGAGAUUGGCUGUAACCAUUUGUUUACUCAAGAGUUAGUUGUCUUGCUCCUGAAGACAGUCUAGUGAGUGAUGGAAGUAGGUUGAUGGGAAGAGGACUGGACACUAGGAGAGUGUACUCUACCCUCACAAGAGCUAGAAACCUACUGAGAGGGGGCCAAGGUGACAAAUGUUAGCUCUUUUCUCUUCUGUGAAAGCUCCCACACUUUUAAAAUGAAAUAUAGUGAGGAGUGAGUGUCCUUAUCCUAGGAUAUCAUAGGUGUUGGGAAGGGCACAACUAUCUUUUGCAGAUGCUUC
This 530-nucleotide long non-coding RNA is filed under the name Bos taurus (domestic cattle). RNAcentral describes it as "long non-coding RNA NONBTAT011818". The record is from RNAcentral. Lineage: Eukaryota; Metazoa; Chordata; Mammalia; Artiodactyla; Bovidae.